Molecule: long non-coding RNA, 108 nt
Organism: Strigops habroptila (Kakapo)
Lineage: Eukaryota; Metazoa; Chordata; Aves; Psittaciformes; Psittacidae
Exons: 3
Source: RefSeq, a predicted model, not a curated record
CUUGAGUGUCCUACACACGUUAUUGCACUGAUUGCCGGAGCCAAGGUAGUUAAAAUCUAACUGUUUAAGUGAAAGACUAGAGGAGGGAGAUAGAGAACCUACAGCCCU